This 301-nucleotide ribosomal RNA is filed under the name uncultured bacterium. RNAcentral describes it as "partial 16S ribosomal RNA". It matches the Rfam family "Bacterial small subunit ribosomal RNA", at positions 509 to 807 of the family's 1533-position model. The record is from RNAcentral.
CAGCCGCCGCGGUAAUACGAAGGGGGCUAGCGUUGCUCGGAAUGACUGGGCGUAAAGGGCGCGUAGGCGGAUGGCACAGUCAGAUGUGAAAUUCCCGGGCUUAACCUGGGGGCUGCAUUUGAUACGUGUUGUCUAGAGUGAGGAAGUGGGUCGUGGAAUUCCCAGUGUAGAGGUGAAAUUCGUAGAUAUUGGGAAGAACACCGGUGGCGAAGGCGGCGACCUGGUCCUUGACUGACGCUGAGGCGCGAAAGCGUGGGGAGCAAACAGGAUUAGAUACCCGAGUAGUCCCUGUCUCUUAUAC